This 491-nucleotide ribosomal RNA is filed under the name uncultured bacterium. Its description in RNAcentral is "partial 16S ribosomal RNA". It matches the Rfam family "Bacterial small subunit ribosomal RNA", at positions 29 to 507 of the family's 1533-position model. The record is from RNAcentral.
AGUGAACGCUGGCGGUAGGCCUAACACAUGCAAGUCGAACGGCAGCACAGUAAGAGCUUGCUCUUACGGGUGGCGAGUGGCGGACGGGUGAGGAAUACAUCGGAAUCUACUUUUUGUGGGGGAUAACGUAGGGAAACUUACGCUAAUACCGCAUACGACCUACGGGUGAAAGCAGGGGAUCUUCGGACCUUGCGCGAUUGAAUGAGCCGAUGUCGGAUUAGCUAGUUGGCGGGCUAAAGGCCCACCAAGGCGACGAUCCGUAGCUGGUCUGAGAGGAUGAUCAGCCACACUGGAACUGAGACACGGUCCAGACUCCUACGGGAGGCAGCAGUGGGGAAUAUUGGACAAUGGGCGCAAGCCUGAUCCAGCCAUACCGCGUGGGUGAAGAAGGCCUUCGGGUUGUAAAGCCCUUUUGUUGGGAAAGAAAAGCAGCAGGUUAAUACCCCGCUGUUCUGACGGUACCCAAAGAAUAAGCACCGGCUAACUUCGUG